CGGAUUGCAGGCUGNAACCCGCCUGCAUGAAGCCGGAAUCGCUAGUAAUCGCGGAUCAGAAUGCCGCGGUGAAUACGUUCCCGGGUCUUGUACACACCGCCCGUCACACCAUGGGAGUCGGGAAUGCCCGAAGUCAGUGGCCCAACCGGAAGGGGGGAGCUGCCGAAGGCAGGCCCGGUGACUGGGGUGAAGUCGUAACAAGGUAAC
RNAcentral lists this ribosomal RNA (207 nucleotides) under uncultured bacterium. RNAcentral's name for it is "partial 16S ribosomal RNA". It matches the Rfam family "Bacterial small subunit ribosomal RNA", at positions 1294 to 1500 of the family's 1533-position model. The record is from RNAcentral.